AGCAGCCGCGGUAAUUCCAGCUCCAAUAGCGUAUAUUAAAGUUGUUGCAGUUAAAAAGCUCGUAGUUGAAUUUCGGGAUUAGUACGCUGGUCGUGCCUUCGGUAUGUACUGGUGUUACUGAUUCCUACCUUCUGACGAACCGUCAUGUCAUUCAUUUGGUGUGGCGGGGAAUCAGGACUGUUACUUUGAAAAAAUUAGAGUGUUUAAAGCAGGCUCGCGCUUGAAUACAUUAGCAUGGAAUAAUGAAAUAGGACGUUCGAUCCUAUUUUGUUGGUUUCUAGGAUUGACGUAAUGAUUAAUAGGGAUAGUUGGGGGCAUUAGUAUUCAAUUGUCAGAGGUGAAAUUCUUGGAUUUAUUGAAGACUAACUACUGCGAAAGCAUUUGCCAAGGAUGUUUUCAUUAAUCAAGAACGAAAGUUAGGGGAUCGAAGACGAUCAGAUACCGUCGUAG
RNAcentral lists this ribosomal RNA (450 nucleotides) under uncultured Glomeromycotina. RNAcentral's name for it is "SSU rRNA". It matches the Rfam family "Eukaryotic small subunit ribosomal RNA", at positions 569 to 1023 of the family's 1831-position model. The record is from RNAcentral. Lineage: Eukaryota; Fungi; Glomeromycota.